GCCUACGGCCAGAGCGCCCUGAGAGCGCCCGAUCCCGCCUGAUCUCGGAAGCUCAGCAGGGUCAUGUAAAUCAUGUAGGACUUUUCUCCUAACAUGAGUAUCCUGGGGA
Cyanistes caeruleus (blue tit) is the source of this 109-nucleotide ribosomal RNA. NCBI's taxonomy places the organism in Eukaryota, Metazoa, Chordata, Aves, Passeriformes, Paridae. The record is from Ensembl.